This 243-nucleotide ribosomal RNA is filed under the name uncultured bacterium. RNAcentral describes it as "partial 16S ribosomal RNA". It matches the Rfam family "Bacterial small subunit ribosomal RNA", at positions 111 to 354 of the family's 1533-position model. The record is from RNAcentral.
UAACGCGUGAGGAACCUGCCUUUCGGAGGGGGACAACAGUUGGAAACGACUGCUAAUACCGCAUGAUACAUUUGGAUCGCAUGGUCUGAAUGUCAAAGAUUUAUCGCCGAAAGAUGGCCUCGCGUCUGAUUAGCUAGUUGGUGAGGUAAUGGCCCACCAAGGCGACGAUCAGUAGCCGGACUGAGAGGUUGGCCGGCCACAUUGGGACUGAGAUACGGCCCAGACUCCUACGGAAGGCAGCAG